This 654-nucleotide ribosomal RNA is filed under the name Triticum aestivum (bread wheat). Its description in RNAcentral is "partial small subunit ribosomal RNA". The record is from RNAcentral. Lineage: Eukaryota; Viridiplantae; Streptophyta; Magnoliopsida; Poales; Poaceae.
CUGAGGGAAGUAGUCCCUCUUCCUCUGUCUCAGGACCCUGACACUGUUUCUUGGAGCCUUUCUCCUUCGGGUGAAUUCUCCGUUAGUUCGGCCUAUCAGGCAUUAUGUCGUAUGCCGGUUCUACGGUGACUAUCCCCAUUGUGGAAGGCACCGUUGCCCUUGAAGAUUAAGGUUUUUGUAUGGCAGCUCCUCCGUGACCGUCUGCCUUCGGGGAUCGAGGUGUUGAAACGCCAUGGUCCGGGCAAUGGCCUUUGCCCUUUGUGCCAUGUCCCGGAAACGGGAACGCACAUUUUGUUCUCUUGCGUAGCAGCGCAGGCACUUUGGUGCUUUGUUCGUGAGGCUCUAGGGCUAGAGUGGGAGGCUCAUGACCUUGCAGAGUUUCUACAGGUUAGGGCCACUUAGGUUGGCCGUAAGCGCCGACUGUUCUGGCUCAUCUUCGUGGCUAUGAUGUGGACUCUCUGGACUACUCGCAACAAGAUGGUGAUUGAGCGGGUGUUCCCGCUACGUGCUUCUGACUCUUUCUUCAAAUUUCUUGCCUUCUUGCAGCACUGGCAUCCGCUCACUAGGCCGAGGGAUCGUGAUCGACUUCAGCUAUUCCUGGACGCCCUGGUGUCUACCGCGCGUCGGCUCUCCGACCGUUCGCAUGUUUCGUAG